AGUGAACGCUGGCGGCAGGCCUAACACAUGCAAGUCGAACGGCAGCACAGUAAGAGCUUGCUCUUACGGGUGGCGAGUGGCGGAUGGGUGAGGAAUACAUCGGAAUCUACUUUUUCGCGGGGGCUAACGUAGUGAAACUUACGCCAAUACCGCAUACGACCUACGGGUGAAAGCAGGGCAUCUUUGGACCUUGCGCGAUUGAAUGAGCCGAUGUCGGAUUUGCUAGUUGGCGGGGUAAAGGCCCACCAAGGCGACGAUCCGUAGCUGGUCUGAGAGGAUGAUCAGCCACACUGGAACUGAGACACGGUCCAGACUCCUACGGGAGGCAGCAGUGGGGAAUAUUGGACAAUGGGCGCAAGCCUGAUCCAGCCAUGCCGCGUGCGUGAAGAAGGCCUUCGGGUUGUAAAGCCCUUUUGUUAGGGAAGAAAAGCAGCAGGUUAAUACCCCGCUGUUCUGACGGUACCCAAAGAAUAAGCACCGGCUAACUUCGUG
This 492-nucleotide ribosomal RNA is filed under the name uncultured bacterium. RNAcentral describes it as "partial 16S ribosomal RNA". It matches the Rfam family "Bacterial small subunit ribosomal RNA", at positions 29 to 507 of the family's 1533-position model. The record is from RNAcentral.